Long non-coding RNA from Stegodyphus dumicola, 295 nucleotides. NCBI's taxonomy places the organism in Eukaryota, Metazoa, Arthropoda, Arachnida, Araneae, Eresidae. The record is from RefSeq and is a predicted model, not a curated record.
UUGUCUGUUGCAGGAAGCUGUUUUAUUGUUACUUACUGCAACAAUAAGAAGAUAAUGAAACAAUGAAACUCUGCAGGUGUUACUUUUGAAAGAAAUGAAAACAUCAAGUUUCAUAGCUCAAAAACGGCUUGACGAGACAGACGAUACAGAAAGGAAAGCAGAAAGAUUACUGGAAAGGAGAAGCUAAAUUCUUUGAACCUUUUUCAAGCACUUUCUCAGUUUUAGUUCCAGUUGUUGGUGUAAAAAAAAAAAAUCUCUUACACGUUACACAAGAUUAAAUAUAGCAUUAAAGGAA